This 364-nucleotide ribosomal RNA is filed under the name uncultured Acholeplasma sp. Its description in RNAcentral is "bacterial SSU rRNA". It matches the Rfam family "Bacterial small subunit ribosomal RNA", at positions 1014 to 1382 of the family's 1533-position model. The record is from RNAcentral. Lineage: Bacteria; Bacillati; Mycoplasmatota; Mollicutes; Acholeplasmatales; Acholeplasmataceae.
CGGAGGUAUUCGGGGAGACAGGUGGUGCAUCGGUUGUCGUCAGCUCGUGUCGUGAGAUGUUGGGUUAAGUCCCGCAACGAGCGCAACCCUAUUGCUAGUUACCAUCAUUAAGUUGGGGACUCUAGCGAGACUGCCAGUGAUAAACUGGAGGAAGGUGGGGAUGACGUCAAAUCAUCAUGCCCCUUAUGACCUGGGCUACAAACGUGAUACAAUGGCUGGAACAAAGGGAUGCGAAGCAGUGAUGUGGAGCGAAACCCAUAAAAACAGUCUCAGUUCGGAUUGAAGUCUGCAACUCGACUUCAUGAAGUCGGAAUCGCUAGUAAUCGCGGAUCAGAACGCCGCGGUGAAUACGUUCUCGGGGUUU